AAAUUCUGCUAAGAUUUUCUUCAAAUUAGAUUCCUCCCCUGCCAUCAGAUGAUGACUGGUAAAUGUAGAGUCCUUUUUCCACAUAAUAAAGAACCGUGGAUUGGUGUCCUUUACAUGCUGCGAAAAGGCCUUGUAGAAGGUAUAUGAACAUGAAUUUCAAAUUGAAGUAUCAGUGAAAAUUCCAUUUUUUAAGGUACAUUAUAUUUUGGACUUAUGUGGUUACCUCGGAGAACAAAGAGAUUUGGUGGGUAAUUAGGUAAUGGACAGACACAAAUAAUUUUGAUUUUAGCUCCUGGAACAUUAUCUUAUUUUGCAGGAUAUAUUGA
RNAcentral lists this long non-coding RNA (326 nucleotides) under Anas zonorhyncha (Eastern spot-billed duck). RNAcentral's name for it is "lncRNA (ENSAZOG00000010163.1)". The record is from RNAcentral. Lineage: Eukaryota; Metazoa; Chordata; Aves; Anseriformes; Anatidae.